UGACGCAAAGGGGCGGGACCUGACGUGGUCGCCUCCAGGAGCGUAGGACAGGGGCAGCGUUGGCUCCUCGGCCCUUUCUGACUGCGCUGAGGGGGCUUAUGUCUCCCGAUACAUCGUGCAGAGGAGAGCCGUGGAGGUCAAGCCAGGAUAGAGAAGAAGAAGCUGAGGCCCGGGCUGAUGUUGCCAUAAUGUCGGGAACGAGUGUGUCUCAUGUGUCGUAGCAGAGCGCACCAGUUGCGGAGCGUUAACUUGCUGGGGCUCUCUUGUCCUCCGCGACCUCCUUUCACCUUUACAAGCCCCUGUAAAGUAAGUGUGGCCAUCUGCCUAUGCUCUCUCCAGCGGAAAGUGAGCAGAAGAGAUGUGCAGUUUCCAGUUCUGAACCACAAAAACUUUUAAAAGGUACUUCUCGUUGCUGUUACUUCUUCUGCCAGCUAGAAGCGAAGACAACUAGAUUCUGGAGAAGCAAGGCCUCAAGAUGGAAGAUUCCUGGGUGGAAGAAAACUCUGCCUCGUCCUCCUACAUGUCCACUCAGGCUGUUAUGUAAGGAAAAAUAAAUAAAUAAACUUAUGUUGUGUUUAA
This is a long non-coding RNA of Tupaia belangeri chinensis (Chinese tree shrew), 579 nucleotides long. RefSeq lists it as uncharacterized. NCBI's taxonomy places the organism in Eukaryota, Metazoa, Chordata, Mammalia, Scandentia, Tupaiidae. The transcript is spliced from 2 exons. The record is from RefSeq and is a predicted model, not a curated record.